Molecule: ribosomal RNA, 253 nt
Filed under: uncultured bacterium
Lineage: Bacteria
Description: partial 16S ribosomal RNA
Rfam family: Bacterial small subunit ribosomal RNA
Source: RNAcentral
GACAGAGGUGCCAAGCGUUAGGCGGAAUCACUGGGCUUAAAGCGUGUGUAGGCGGAUCGUUAAGUACCUUGUGAAAUCCCACGGCUCAACCGUGGAACUGCUCGGUAUACUGGCGGUCUUGAGCCAGCUAGGGGCUACCGGAACAAAUGGUGGAGCGGUGAAAUGCGUAGAUAUCAUUUGGAACGCCAAUGGUGAAAACAGGUAGCUGGGGCUGUGCUGACGCUGAGACACGAAAGCCAGGGGAGCAAACGGG